GACGAACGCUGGCGGCGUGCUUAACACGUGCAAGUCGAACGGAAAGGCCCUGCUUUUGUGGGGUGCUCGAGUGGCGAACGGGUGAGUAACACGUGAGUAACCUGCCCUUGACUUUGGGAUAACUUCAGGAAACUGGGGCUAAUACCGGAUAGGAGCUCCUGCUGCAUGGUGGGGGUUGGAAAGUUUCGGCGGUUGGGGAUGGACUCGCGGCUUAUCAGCUUGUUGGUGUGGUAGUGGCUUACCAAGGCUUUGACGGGUAGCCGGCCUGAGAGGGUGACCGGGCACAUUGGGACUGAGAUACGGCCCAGACUCGUACGGGAGGCAGCAGUGGGGAAUAUUGCACAAUGGGCGGAAGCCUGAUGCAGCGACGCCGCGUGCGGGAUGACGGCCUUCGGGUUGUAAACCGCUUUCGCCUGUGACGAAGCGUGAGUGACGGUAAUGGGUAAAGAAGCACCGGCUAACUACGUG
This 468-nucleotide ribosomal RNA is filed under the name uncultured bacterium. Its description in RNAcentral is "partial 16S ribosomal RNA". It matches the Rfam family "Bacterial small subunit ribosomal RNA", at positions 28 to 507 of the family's 1533-position model. The record is from RNAcentral.